GGUCUGAUAAGUGUAAUCUUGUAGGAUACCCCAAGAAAAUAAGGGGAUAUUACUUUUACCUCCUGCUGAACAAAAGGUAUUUGUUAGUAGUAAGGUACAUUUUUUGAAAAAAAAAAAUUUAGUGAAGGAAUAAGUGCCUCUAAAGUCGAGCUCAAUGAAGUUCGACAAGUAGAAGAACCGACACCAGUGACUGAAUCUGAAUCAGAAUUGAUAAGAUCAAACCAGAAGCCCAAUAUACAAAUAUCCUUAAGAUAAUCUGGUAGAGUACCGCAUC
RNAcentral lists this long non-coding RNA (274 nucleotides) under Elaeis guineensis (African oil palm). RNAcentral describes it as "long non-coding RNA (EGUI_LNC055287)". The record is from RNAcentral. Lineage: Eukaryota; Viridiplantae; Streptophyta; Magnoliopsida; Arecales; Arecaceae.